CUAUUUUCUGCCAGCUUUGCCCUUUAAACUUGACCAAGUUUUCAGAAUGCUUGCAAAAUGUUGCUCACAAGGUGCAAGAGUAGUCAUUAGCCAUCCCCAAGGGAGAGAAGCAUUAGAGCAGCAAAGGAAACAACAUCAAGAUGUUAUAGUAUCUGAAUUGCCUGAUAAGAUGACCUUGCUGAAGGUUGCAUCUGAUAAUUCUUUCGAGAUGGCUGAAUUUGUGGACGAGUCAGGAUUAUAUCUUGCUGUUUUACAGUUUUCUGGGGCG
This 268-nucleotide unclassified non-coding RNA is filed under the name Hevea brasiliensis (rubber tree). The record is from RNAcentral. Lineage: Eukaryota; Viridiplantae; Streptophyta; Magnoliopsida; Malpighiales; Euphorbiaceae.